UGCGUAGGCGGUUUGGUAAGCCAGAUGUGAAAUUCCUGGGCUCAACCGAGGAACUGCAUUUGAUACUGCCAGACUAGAGUACUGGAGAGGAGACUGGAAUUUACGGUGUAGCAGUGAAAUGCGUAGAUAUCGUAAGGAAGGCCAGUGGCGAAGGCGAGUCUCUGGACAGUAACUGACGCUGAGGCACGAAGGCUAGGGGAGCAAACG
Molecule: ribosomal RNA, 207 nt
Filed under: uncultured bacterium
Lineage: Bacteria
Description: partial 16S ribosomal RNA
Rfam family: Bacterial small subunit ribosomal RNA
Source: RNAcentral